RNAcentral lists this ribosomal RNA (466 nucleotides) under uncultured bacterium. Its description in RNAcentral is "partial 16S ribosomal RNA". It matches the Rfam family "Bacterial small subunit ribosomal RNA", at positions 28 to 507 of the family's 1533-position model. The record is from RNAcentral.
GAUGAACGCUGGCGGCGUGCUUAACACAUGCAAGUCGAACGAUGAAGCCCAGCUUGCUGGGUGGUUUAGUGGCGAACGGGUGAGUAACACGUGAGUAACCUGCCCUUAACUCUGGGAUAAGCCUGGGAAACUGGGUCUAAUACCGGAUAGGAGCGUCCACCGCAUGGUGGGUGUUGGAAAGAUUUAUCGGUUUUGGAUGGACUCGCGGCCAAUCAGCUUGUUGGUGGGGUAAUGGCUCACCAAGGCGACGACGGGUAGCCGGCCUGGGAGGGUGACCGGCCACACUGGGACUGAGAGACGGCCCAGACUCCUACGGGAGGCAGCAGUGGGGAAUAUUGCACAAUGGGCGCAAGCCUGAUGCAGCGACGCCGCGUGAGGGAUGACGGCCUUCGGGUUGUAAACCUCUUUCAGUAGGGAAGAAGCGAAAGUGACGGUACCUGCAGAAGAAGCACCGGCUAACUACGUG